UACGGGGGGGGCAAGCGUUGUUCGGAAUUACUGGGCGUAAAGGGCUCGUAGGCGGCCAACUAAGUCAGACGUGAAAUCCCUCGGCUUAACCGGGGAACUGCGUCUGAUACUGGAUGGCUUGAGGUUGGGAGAGGGAUGCGGAAUUCCAGGUGUAGCGGUGAAAUGCGUAGAGAUGUGGAGGAACACCGAUGGCGAAGGCAGCCUUCUGGGCCAACACUGACGCUCAUGCACGAAAGCGUGGGGAGCAAACAGG
This 253-nucleotide ribosomal RNA is filed under the name uncultured bacterium. RNAcentral describes it as "partial 16S ribosomal RNA". It matches the Rfam family "Bacterial small subunit ribosomal RNA", at positions 524 to 776 of the family's 1533-position model. The record is from RNAcentral.